GUGUCAGCCGCCGCGGUAAUACGGAGGGUGCAAGCGUUAUCCGGAUUCAUUGGGUUUAAAGGGUGCGCAGGCGGAUACUUAAGUCAGUGGUGAAAUCCCGGGGCUCAACCCCGGAACUGCCAUUGAUACUGAAUAUCUGGAAUACGGUUGAAGUGGGCGGAAUGUAGCAUGUAGCGGUGAAAUGCAUAGAGAUGCUACAGAACACCGAUCGCGAAGGCAGCUCACUAAGCCGAUAUUGACGCUCAGGCACGAAAGCGUGGGGAGCGAACAGGAUUAGAUACCCUGGUAGUCCACGCCGUAAACGAUGAUAACUCGUUGUUGGCGACACACAGUCAGCGACUAAGCGAAAGCGAUAAGUUAUCCACCUGGGGAGUACGAUCGCAAGGUUGAAACUCAAAGGAAUAGACGG
Molecule: ribosomal RNA, 409 nt
Filed under: uncultured bacterium
Lineage: Bacteria
Description: bacterial SSU rRNA
Rfam family: Bacterial small subunit ribosomal RNA
Source: RNAcentral